AGUGGAUCAAGGCAGUGGAUUGUGAAUCCACCAUGCGCG
This 39-nucleotide transfer RNA is filed under the name Dumasia truncata. RNAcentral describes it as "partial tRNA-His". RNAcentral also lists the same sequence under 8 other names. Lineage: Eukaryota; Viridiplantae; Streptophyta; Magnoliopsida; Fabales; Fabaceae. The record is from RNAcentral.